GUGCUCACUUUGGCAACACAUAUACUAACAUUGGAAAGAUACAAAGAAGAUUAGCAUGGUCCCUGCACGCAAAUUCAUGAAGUUGCUCCAUAAAAA
This 96-nucleotide small nuclear RNA is filed under the name Phascolarctos cinereus (koala). The record is from RNAcentral. Lineage: Eukaryota; Metazoa; Chordata; Mammalia; Diprotodontia; Phascolarctidae.